Nylanderia fulva is the source of this 390-nucleotide long non-coding RNA. RefSeq lists it as uncharacterized. Lineage: Eukaryota; Metazoa; Arthropoda; Insecta; Hymenoptera; Formicidae. The record is from RefSeq and is a predicted model, not a curated record.
CUGACGCAUUUGCUAAGACACUUCUGCAUUUCAUUGGCGUAUAUCGGUCUGCCAAGUUGGGUGAUUACGGUCGCGAAAUAAAUCUAUUGAUACACAAUUCAUCGAUCUAUCACUGAUAGUCAAGUUAUCUAUCACGGGAAUAUUAAAUAGUUUUGAUGACUGCGUAAUUAAUGUUGUGUUUUUCCAGUAGCAGACGUAAAAAAUCAGCUACAUACAUUUACCGAGAAAAUAUCGUAGACCAGCAGGGAGCAUUCGAGAGAUUUUUAAUUUAAUUCCGAUGCCACUUUCGACACGGGAAUGCUGGAAAAUGAUUCUAUCUUGCUGCACUUUUGCUCAUAUAGGUAUUGGAAAUUGGAAUUUAAAUUUAUAAUAAUAUUAACACAUUUUUCU